AUAACAAUAAUAAUAUCCGUACUUAUAUUUUUUACUAGUACGGUUAGAAGAUGGAGAGGUUGAAUUGGAACGAACACAAAAGGGCGAGCUUGUGCGCGUGGGAUUGAAAGAGAUGUUGUAUGGGAAGUCAGUUUUUAGCGUCUAGUCAUGAGGGCUGAGGGCAUCAUAUGAUCCCUGUAUUGAUGUGGAUGUUUAUAGUAUGCAAGUUUGGAUAAAUCUGAGUAUAUACUUACAAAUAUUUAUGCAUAUUCUCGUCUU
This 258-nucleotide unclassified non-coding RNA is filed under the name Hevea brasiliensis (rubber tree). The record is from RNAcentral. Lineage: Eukaryota; Viridiplantae; Streptophyta; Magnoliopsida; Malpighiales; Euphorbiaceae.